RNAcentral lists this ribosomal RNA (948 nucleotides) under uncultured Bacillus sp. RNAcentral describes it as "bacterial SSU rRNA". It matches the Rfam family "Bacterial small subunit ribosomal RNA", at positions 39 to 970 of the family's 1533-position model. The record is from RNAcentral. Lineage: Bacteria; Bacillati; Bacillota; Bacilli; Caryophanales; Bacillaceae.
GCGGCGGGUGCUAUACUGCAGUCGAGCGGACAGAUGGGAGCUUGCUCCCUGAUGUUAGCGGCGGACGGGUGAGUAACACGUGGGUAACCUGCCUGUAAGACUGGGAUAACUCCGGGAAACCGGGGCUAAUACCGGAUGGUUGUCUGAACCGCAUGGUUCAGACAUAAAAGGUGGCUUCGGCUACCACUUACAGAUGGACCCGCGGCGCAUUAGCUAGUUGGUGAGGUAACGGCUCACCAAGGCGACGAUGCGUAGCCGACCUGAGAGGGUGAUCGGCCACACUGGGACUGAGACACGGCCCAGACUCCUACGGGAGGCAGCAGUAGGGAAUCUUCCGCAAUGGACGAAAGUCUGACGGAGCAACGCCGCGUGAGUGAUGAAGGUUUUCGGAUCGUAAAGCUCUGUUGUUAGGGAAGAACAAGUGCCGUUCAAAUAGGGCGGCACCUUGACGGUACCUAACCAGAAAGCCACGGCUAACUACGUGCCAGCAGCCGCGGUAAUACGUAGGUGGCAAGCGUUGUCCGGAAUUAUUGGGCGUAAAGGGCUCGCAGGCGGUUUCUUAAGUCUGAUGUGAAAGCCCCCGGCUCAACCGGGGAGGGUCAUUGGAAACUGGGGAACUUGAGUGCAGAAGAGGAGAGUGGAAUUCCACGUGUAGCGGUGAAAUGCGUAGAGAUGUGGAGGAACACCAGUGGCGAAGGCGACUCUCUGGUCUGUAACUGACGCUGAGGAGCGAAAGCGUGGGGAGCGAACAGGAUUAGAUACCCUGGUAGUCCACGCCGUAAACGAUGAGUGCUAAGUGUUAGGGGGUUUCCGCCCCUUAGUGCUGCAGCUAACGCAUUAAGCACUCCGCCUGGGGAGUACGGUCGCAAGACUGAAACUCAAAGGAAUUGACGGGGGCCCGCACAAGCGGUGGAACAUGUGGUUUAAUUCGAAGCAACGCGAAGAACC